This 1470-nucleotide ribosomal RNA is filed under the name uncultured bacterium. RNAcentral describes it as "16S ribosomal RNA". It matches the Rfam family "Bacterial small subunit ribosomal RNA". The record is from RNAcentral.
GACGAACGCUGGCGGCGUGCUUAACACAUGCAAGUCGAACGGAGAAUAUAGCAAUAUAUUCUUAGUGGCGAACGGGUGAGUAACGCGUAGACAACCUGCCUUCUAGAUGGGGACAACGUUCCGAAAGGGACGCUAAUACCGAAUGUCCUGUCAAGUCCGCAUGGACUGGACAGCAAAGAUGGCCUCUGCAUAUGCUAUCGCUAGAAGAUGGGUCUGCGUCUGAUUAGCUGGUUGGUGAGGUAACGGCUCACCAAGGCGACGAUCAGUAGCCGGUCUGAGAGGAUGAACGGCCACACUGGGACUGAGACACGGCCCAGACUCCUACGGGAGGCAGCAGUGGGGAAUCUUCCGCAAUGGACGAAAGUCUGACGGAGCAACGCCGCGUGAGUGAAGAAGGUUUUCGGACCGUAAAACUCUGUCUUUUAGGGCGAACGUAUUGCUGGUGAACAAUCAGCGAUAGUGACGGUACUAAAGGAGGAAGCCACGGCUAACUACGUGCCAGCAGCCGCGGUAAUACGUAGGUGGCGAGCGUUGUCCGGAAUUACUGGGCGUAAAGGAUGCGUAGGCGGCCUCUUAAGUGGGAUGUGAAAUCCCGGGGCUUAACCCCGGAGCUGCAUUCCAUACUGGGAGGCUAGAGUGCAGGAGAGGAAAGCGGAAUUCCCAGUGUAGCGGUGAAAUGCGUAGAGAUUGGGAGGAACACCAGUGGCGAAGGCGGCUUUCUGGACUGUAACUGACGCUGAGGCAUGAAAGUGUGGGGAGCAAACAGGAUUAGAUACCCUGGUAGUCCACACCGUAAACGAUGGGCACUAGGUGUAGGGGGCGUAGCCCUCUGUGCCGCAGUUAACACAUUAAGUGCCCCGCCUGGGGAGUACGAUCGCAAGAUUAAAACUCAAAGGAAUUGACGGGGGCCCGCACAAGCAGCGGAGCAUGUGGUUUAAUUCGAAGCAACGCGAAGAACCUUACCAGGACUUGACAUCCACGGAAUCCUUAAGAGAUUAGGGAGUGCCCUUCGGGGGACCGUGAGACAGGUGGUGCAUGGUUGUCGUCAGCUCGUGUCGUGAGAUGUUGGGUUAAGUCCCGCAACGAGCGCAACCCUUGUUGCUAGUUGCCAUCAUUAAGUUGGGCACUCUAGCGAGACUGCCGAGGUUAACUCGGAGGAAGGUGGGGAUGACGUCAAAUCAUCAUGCCCUUUAUGUCCUGGGCUACACACGUGUUACAAUGGCUGGAACAAAGAGAAGCAAUACCGCGAGGUGGAGCAAAUCUCCAAAACCAGUCCCAGUUCGGAUUGUAGGCUGCAACCUGCCUACAUGAAGCUGGAGUUGCUAGUAAUCGUGGAUCAGAAUGCCACGGUGAAUGCGUUCCCGGGCCUUGUACACACCGCCCGUCACACCAUGAGAGUUGGCAAUACCCAAAGUCCGUGAGGUAACCGCAAGGAGCCAGCGGCCUAAGGUAGGGUCAGCGAUUGGGGUG